Molecule: long non-coding RNA, 1307 nt
Organism: Arachis stenosperma
Lineage: Eukaryota; Viridiplantae; Streptophyta; Magnoliopsida; Fabales; Fabaceae
Exons: 3
Source: RefSeq, a predicted model, not a curated record
CAACAAACACUCUCCACGCCCAAACUUGAGUUACACGCGCAUCCACCAGCAGAAAAAAAAAGAAAGAAAGAAAAGGAGAAGAGGGCUGACGGGAAAGGGGAAAGGGGGAAGGGGUCGCGUUGCUUCCGCUGCCCAAUUCGCGCCGCCAUUGUUGCACGUCCACAGAGCCAUGAGUCGUGCCUCUGUCACUGAGAGGAGGAGGAAGAAGACGCAAUGCUAGAGGAGCCGCACCCAGUCCGUGUCGCGUCGCACAUAAGGGUCACCGGGGGAGAGCGGCGCGGAAGAGGAAGAGAGGCCGAAUGUGGGGAUUCGUCAUCAUCCUCGUUGCUGACUAGCUCGCCGCUGCCGCCACUGUUGUGUCGCGCCAUCGUCAUCCUCAUCACCGAGGCGAGUCAUCGUUGUCCAUGGUGGGCCAAAGAGAGCAGCUCAAACUGCUGAGAGAGAGAGACGUCGAAAGGGAAAACACGAUGAAGGAGACGUUUCCAACGUCGUCAAGCUGAAACGCCGUCGCCGUCAUCAGUUGUGGUCACCGUCAUUGUCGAUGAUGGAGCCUCGCCGAAGCCUGUGUAGUCGUCCUCCUUGCCAGCAGUGAGAGAAAAGCAAGAUGAAUCUCUCUGUUUCUGUUGUUCUGGUCCGCUGAGAAAGGGAAGAUGUUGCCAUUGUGCUUCACGCAUCACCGACGAGCACGGAGAGGAGGGACUGUGUCCGGUCACUACCGUUUGAGGGGAUGUGCUUGGCCGCCGUUGUGCUGCCAUACUUCACCGUGCCUGAGCUCUGCCACUCCCUGCUCUUUGGGCUUGUGUUGAUGCGGGAACCACUACAGGAAGAGGAGCAGGCUGAGUUACCGUGAUUCGGGCCGCCAAGGAUGGUUCUGUGACUUUCUGGACCAUCGCCGAAGCUUCGAGCCGAGCCUCUGCCCCCGGAGAACGCCACCGCCAUCGCCGGAAAACACUGCUGGUUUUAGUCACCAUCGCCGGAGUCCGGUCGCCGCUGCCGCCUGAGGUGGCUGCCGGGAUGCCGCCGAACUGGUUCGAAGACCGCCGCUGUUUCAGUUCAGCCAUUCUUUCUUCGUUUCGAGUCGUUGUGGUUGUUGAGAAAGCAAGUGGAGCUGAGGUUUUGGUUGUAAUCGAUUUGGGUCAAGACGAAUGGAGUCAGUUAACGAGUUUGGGUUGUGGUUUCACGUGUCGAGGUAGGGAUUUUUCUAAAAAGCUAUUGUAUAUUUGGAAUUGUUAUAAAUGGAUACUAGUGUGAGAAUUAUAUACUUUUAGUGAUUGUACCUAUCUUAUGUAUUGUUUGGCUACUUUCGA